UCUACACCUCUCUAUUCGUCGGCAGCGUCAGAUGUGUAUAAGAGACAGCAGUUAAGGUCCCUAAAUGUGGCUCAGUGGUAAAGGAUGUGAUUUUACUUAGACAAUGGGGAUGUUGGCUUAGAGGCAGCCAUCAUUUAAACAGUGCGUAACAGCUGACCCAUCGAGUGAAAUUGCGCCGAAAAUGAUCGGGACUUAAGCCACAUACCGAAGCUAUGGAUUUCAGUUCCUCGGAACUGGAGUAGUAGGAAAGCGUUCCAAGUGCAGUGAAGGAGAAGGGGCAACCGACUCUGGAGCGCUUGGAAGUGAGAAUGCAGACAUGAGUAACGAUAAAGAUGGUUAAAGUCCAUCUCGCCGUAAGGAUAAGGUUUCCUGGGGAAGGCUCGUCCUCCCAGGGUUAGUCGGGAGCUAAGAUGAGGCCGUAAGGAGUAAUCGAUGCACAGAAGGUUAAUAUUCCUUCACCGGCUUGCAACUAUUCCCAGAGUGCGGAUCGACGGACCCUACAGACCUGUUUUGACAAGGCACUGCAAAGCUACGGCUGCGUGGGUGUAGGGAAAGAAGGUUCCAAGAAAAGCUCUGGAAUUACUAUGCAGGUCGCUCGUACCGCAAACCGACACAGGUAUCCGGGAUGAGUAUUCUAAGGCGCGCGAGUUAAAUCUCUCUAAGGAACUCGGCAAAUUGGCCCCGUAUCUUCGGUAUAAGGGGUGCCCCUCUAGGGGGGUCGCAGUUAAUAGCGUCAACCGACUGUUUAGCAAAAACACAGCUCUCUGCAAAGUCGCAAGACGACGUAUAGGGAGUGACACGUGACCAAUGCGAAAAGGUGAACGCCUGGGGUGCAAGCUCCGGGUCUAAGCCCUCGUGAAUGUCGGCCGUAACUAUAACGGUCCUAAGGUAGCGAAAUUCCUUGUCGGGUAAGUUCCGACCCGCACGAAUCGUGUAACGAGUUGACGACUGUCUCGGAGAGACGCUCGGUGAAAUUGUAGUAGCGGUUAAGAUGCCGCUUACCCGCAGCAGGACGGAAAGACCCUAUGCACCUUUACUGUAAGCUGUUAUUGUCGCUUGAUCUUCAUUGCGUAGAAUAGGUGGGAGACGUUGAUCCUUCGUUCCAGGACGAAGGCUAGUCGUAAUGUGAAAUACCACUCUUUGUUGGUUAGGCGUCUAACCUCUUUCCAUUAUCUGGAGGAGGGACAGUGAUAGCAGGUCAGUUUUACUGGGGCGGUAUCCUCCUAAAAAGUAACGGAGGAUUUCGAAGGUUCCCUCAGCCCGGUCGGUAAUCGGGCUAUAGAGCGCAAGAGUAUAAGGGAGCUUUACUGUGAGACCUACAAGUCGAGCAGUUGCGAAAGCAGGAUCUAGUGAUCCGGUGGUUGAAAGUGGAAUCGCCAUCGCUCAUAGGACAAAAGGUACUCCGGGGAUAACAGGCUUAUCGCGCCCAAGAGUUCAUAUCGACGGC
This 1447-nucleotide ribosomal RNA is filed under the name seawater metagenome. RNAcentral describes it as "bacterial LSU rRNA". It matches the Rfam family "Bacterial large subunit ribosomal RNA", at positions 959 to 2512 of the family's 2925-position model. The record is from RNAcentral.